UUAGGAAUAUUCGUCAAUGGGGGAAACCCUGAACGAGCGAUGCCGCGUGAGCGAUGAAGGUCCUUAGGAUUGUAAAGCUCUGUUGUAAGGGAAGAAACUCUAUCAUAGGAAAUGAUGAUAGAUUGACGGUACCUUACCAGAAAGCCCCUGCUAACUACGUGCCAGCAGCCGCGGUAAUACGUAGGGGGCGAGCGUUAUCCGGAUUUAUUGGGCGUAAAGCGUGUGUAGGCGGUCUAUUAAGUUUAAGAUCAAAUCCCGGAGCUUAACUCCGGUCCGUCUUAAAAACUGGUAGACUUGAGUACAGUAGAGGCAAGUGGAAUUUCUAGUGUAGCGGUUAAAUGCGUAGAUAUUAGAAGGAACACCAGUGGCGAAGGCGGCUUGCUGGGCUGUUACUGACGCUGAGACACGAAAGCGUGGGGAGCAAAUAGG
RNAcentral lists this ribosomal RNA (429 nucleotides) under uncultured bacterium. RNAcentral describes it as "bacterial SSU rRNA". It matches the Rfam family "Bacterial small subunit ribosomal RNA", at positions 355 to 776 of the family's 1533-position model. The record is from RNAcentral.